RNAcentral lists this ribosomal RNA (513 nucleotides) under bacterium enrichment culture clone ALO1_GLFRUDD03G40MG. Its description in RNAcentral is "bacterial SSU rRNA". It matches the Rfam family "Bacterial small subunit ribosomal RNA", at positions 9 to 517 of the family's 1533-position model. The record is from RNAcentral.
GAGUUUGAUCUUGGCUCAGAUUGAACGCUGGCGGCAGGCCUAACAUAUGCAAGUCGAGCGGAUGACGGGAGCUUGCUCCUUGAUUCAGCGGCGGACGGGUGAGUAAUGCCUGGGAAUCUGCCUGGUAGUGGGGGACAACGUUUCGAAAGGAACGCUAAUACCGCAUACGUCCUACGGGAGAAAGCAGGGGACCUUCGGGCCUUGCGCUAUCAGAUGAGCCUAGGUCGGAUUAGCUAGUUGGUGGGGUAAUGGCUCACCAAGGCGACGAUCCGUAACUGGUCUGAGAGGAUGAUCAGUCACACUGGAACUGAGACACGGUCCAGACUCCUACGGGAGGCAGCAGUGGGGAAUAUUGGACAAUGGGCGAAAGCCUGAUCCAGCCAUGCCGCGUGUGUGAAGAAGGUCUUCGGAUUGUAAAGCACUUUAAGUUGGGAGGAAGGGCAGUAAGUUAAUACCUUGCUGUUUUGACGUUACCGACAGAAUAAGCACCGGCUAACUCUGUGCCAGCCGCCG